This 161-nucleotide ribosomal RNA is filed under the name uncultured Lactobacillus sp. RNAcentral describes it as "partial 16S ribosomal RNA". It matches the Rfam family "Bacterial small subunit ribosomal RNA", at positions 337 to 492 of the family's 1533-position model. Lineage: Bacteria; Bacillati; Bacillota; Bacilli; Lactobacillales; Lactobacillaceae. The record is from RNAcentral.
UUUUACGGGAGGCAGCAGUAGGGAAUCUUCCACAAUGGACGAAAGUCUGAUGGAGCAACGCCGCGUGAGUGAUGAAGGNUUUCGGCUCGUAAAACUCUGUUGUUGGAGAAGAACGGGUGUCAGAGUAACUGUUGACAUCGUGACGGNUCCAACCAAAAGCC